This 292-nucleotide ribosomal RNA is filed under the name uncultured bacterium. RNAcentral describes it as "partial 16S ribosomal RNA". It matches the Rfam family "Bacterial small subunit ribosomal RNA", at positions 505 to 796 of the family's 1533-position model. The record is from RNAcentral.
GUGCCAGCCGCCGCGGUAAUACAGAGGUGGCAAGCGUUGUUCGGAUUUACUGGGCGUAAAGGGUGCGUAGGAGGUCGUGUGUGUCGGAUGUGAAAUCUUGCUGUUCAUCGGCAAAACUGCAUUCGAAACUACACGACUAGAGUGCAGGAGAGGAGAGCAGAAUUCUCGGUGUAGCGGUGAAAUGCGUUGAUAUCGAGAGGAAUGCCGGUGGUGAAGACGGCUCUCUGGACUGUAACUGACUCUGAGGCACGAAAGCUAGGGGAGCAAACAGGAUUAGAAACCCUCGUAGUCC